This 525-nucleotide long non-coding RNA is filed under the name Macaca mulatta (Rhesus monkey). RNAcentral describes it as "lncRNA (ENSMMUG00000051823.1)". Lineage: Eukaryota; Metazoa; Chordata; Mammalia; Primates; Cercopithecidae. The record is from RNAcentral.
AUGAACUUUCUAAGCCUUGGCUUCCUUAUCUGUAAAGUAGGGGUGAUGCUAGUACCGUCUUCACAGGCCAUCCGGCUUGAGAGGGAGAACCUGGCACACCAAGCAUGCCCAACUAAGCAGAAGAAGAUGCCUGAUCGCAUGAGUGUCAUCCCAUUGAAUCUUCUCGGCGGUCCUACAAGCCCUGAAGUCCACCCUGCCACUCGUGGGAUGUAUCUCAUGUCCUCCCUGCCACAGGCCGCAACAGAUGGCUGUGAGAACACUCGGCCUGCCCCGCCUGGGUCAGGAUGCAGAGCCCAACGCCUGUUUCCAGUGCUGUCCGGCUAUGAAAACACUGCUUCUCUUGGGAGGGGUGAUGGCUGGCCUGGGGGAGGCCAGCCAUGUCUGUUCUACCCAAUUCAAGGGCAAAGGUGCAAGGGAAUAAUGAUCAGGGGUUUGUUUGAACCAUGUUACAGAAUUGAAAAGUAUUUUCAUACAAUUGAAAGUCAGAAAAUAGGAGACACUUGCUAUAUUGUUCUAUCCUGUUAG